Molecule: ribosomal RNA, 321 nt
Filed under: uncultured eukaryote
Lineage: Eukaryota
Description: partial 18S ribosomal RNA
Rfam family: Eukaryotic small subunit ribosomal RNA
Source: RNAcentral
CCCUUAGAUGUUCUGGGCCGCACGCGCGCUACACUGAUGAACGCAACGAGACCACCUGUACCGAAAGGCAUGGGUAAACUUGUGAAAGUUCAUCGUGAUGGGGAUAGAUUAUUGCAAUUAUUAAGCUUCAACGAGGAAUUCCUAGUAAGCGCGAGUCAUCAGCUCGCGUUGAUUACGUCCCUGCCCUUUGUACACACCGCCCGUCGCUCCUACCGAUUGAAUGGUCCGGUGAAAUCUUCGGAUUGCUGGAUAGGACUUCAUUGACCUAUCUGCGAGAAGUUGCUUGAACCUUAUCAUUUAGAGGAAGGAGAANUCGUAACA